RNAcentral lists this ribosomal RNA (474 nucleotides) under uncultured bacterium. RNAcentral describes it as "partial 16S ribosomal RNA". It matches the Rfam family "Bacterial small subunit ribosomal RNA", at positions 28 to 507 of the family's 1533-position model. The record is from RNAcentral.
GACGAACGCUGGCGGCGUGCUUAACACAUGCAAGUCGAACGGUAAGGCCCUUCGGGGUACACGAGUGGCGAACGGGUGAGUAACACGUGGGUAAUCUGCCCUGCACAUCGGGAUAAGCCUGGGAAACUGGGUCUAAUACCGAAUAGGACCACAGGACACAUGUCCUGUGGUGGAAAGCUUUUGCGGUGUGGGAUGGGCCCGCGGCCUAUCAGCUUGUUGGUGGGGUGAUGGCCUACCAGGGCGACGACGGGUAGCCGGCCUGAGAGGGUGUCCGGCCACAUUGGGACUUGGCUUCGGCCCAGACCUCUACGGGAGGCCGCCGUUGGGAAUAUUUGCCCAUGGGCGAAAGGCUUAUUCCGCCGCGCCGCGUGGGGGAUGACCGCCUUCGGGUUGUUAACCUCUUUCACCAUCGACGAAGGUCCGGGUUUUCUCGGGCUGACGGUAGGUGGAGAAGAAGCACCGGCCAACUACGUG